AUUUCGUGGACGGCUUUUAUUGGUGGCUCGGCGUAGAUGUUGCGUGUCGCUGAUCGAGCGUUUCGUUUAGAAUACUCGAUCACGUUGUCUUAUCUAGUUCCGGGCAUCUACUGAACCUGCCGUCAGGAGCUGAAAGGUUACCCGCAUGGCUCCAGCUUCGGCUUUCCUCCGUGUGUCGGGGCUUCUUCUCGUUGGCUUCACCGCCGUCUGCAGAGCAGAAGUGCAGUUUGCAACAGCCAUAGACAUCAGCGACCUGGGUGAACGCGUGGUUCGCAAGGACCUGUUGCCCGCCUGCCAGGCUUGCAAGACAGUAGUUAAGACAUUCCAAAAUGGCAUUGAGCGAACAAAAAGGAGCCGCUUCGAUGGAGGAGACGUUGACUGGGAAGCAAGAAAUAUGGGCAAGUACUCGAAAAGUGAGAUUAGGUUCAUCGAAAUCCAAGAACACCUGUGCUUGGAGAUAGUCAAAGGCCAGGAACACUGCAGAAACAUGGCCGCACAGUAUGAAGAACACUUGGAAGAGUGGUGGUUCGAGCACCAGGACAAGGAGCCCGAUCUGCACAAGUAUUUGUGCAUUGACCAGGCUAAAGCUUGCUGCCCGGAAGGCCACUAUGGCCCCAACUGCGAUCCUUGCACGGGAGGAGCAGAGAACCCAUGCAAUGGACACGGGAGGUGCAAAGGCUCCGGAACACGCAAGGGUAAUGGCAAGUGUGACUGCCAUAAAGGUUACAUGGGCGAGCUGUGCGACUCUUGCACUGAGGGCUACUACGAGGACAAGCCAGGUGCCAAUGGCACCAAAAUAUGCACCCCAUGCGACAAGUCGUGCAAGGGCCCAUGCACCGAGGGCGGCCCCAAGGCAUGCAAGGAGUGCGUGGCGGGCUACGUCAUGAAUGAAGAACUGGGAUGCGUGGACAUCGACGAGUGCAUCGAGUCUGAGGAGGAUCUCUGUGCAAAGGAGAGAAACACGUUCUGUGCCAACACGCAAGGCUCCUACAAGUGCAUGAUGUGUGACUUCGCUUGUGACGGCUGCACUGGAGACGGACCGGACCACUGUGUCAAAUGUGCCAAAAGUUACGUCUUGAAAGACAAGACCUGCAUCGAUGCAACUGAUGCAGGUACAGUAAACGUUCUUGGCUGCAAUCACACCUUUGUUUUGAUGCUGCAUGAACAUUUGUGUAAUAUCUGUUAAAGGCCAACUGCAAUGAAAUUUUACUUUGGCUAAAUUGGUUAUAAUAUUGUAAAUGAGUAGUACUAGUGCUGUCGGCAACUGAUUUGUCAGAUGCCCGAUUUUUCGAACAUGCCUGAUGAUUCAGACACCUUCGCUGCACUGCCACGUACCCCGUAGAGGCACUAUGUAGAGACGUCUGAAAUUUUGAAUGCUGAAUCCCAUUGCUAUCUGAUUGUUUGGAUAUUGAAUUGCAUAAUGCUGGUUCCCGAAAGUCAGCUUCGCCGUAAACAGCUGUGUUAUGCGGUCAAGCAUACGCAACGUAUUGCAGUGAAGCAUACCAAGAGUGCAAAGGGACCACUCACAUGGGACAUAAAAUCUGUUCCUUAAUUAUACACGCGUGCACCUGCUGUCUCCUAUUACAGUACGAGCACCGAGAUGCCUAAUAAUUGUACUGGCACGCCUGUAAAGCUAUUUUGGGCGUGGCUGUGGCGAUUUGAGCCUUGAAGGCAGUUAAAGGCAUGCAUUCGUUUUUUUUUUUUUUCAGACUGCCCGAUAUUUAGGAUCUUUUCACGGUCCCUAGAAAGUCAGAAAAAUUGGACAUUGACUUGCAUACUAUGGGAGCAACCUUGGCAGAACUGCAGAGCUAGUAAUUGUCUCAUUUUCUUAUUAACAGCCUUUAAAUAGCUCCUAAGCCGAUGCGUGCACCAGGUGGUUAGUGGAUGCAAUGCAAAUCAUGGCCUCAGAGAUUUUCAGCACGUCAGGGGCAGAGCCCAGUCUUGAAGGACAUUCUAAGGAGCCAUGCUGGUUCACAACUUUCUGGGUUCUGUAACAACAGCAUUGUGCUUUUCAUAAGUUUCGGUACCGAACGUAUGUUAUUUUGCCUAGCCUUUCACGGCAUAUUCACUCGCGUUUCAAACUUAUAGGUUUGUCUGUAGGUUCCUCUAAAAAGUAGGCUUUUAGCGUGGUCCAAAAUUUCGUUGCAGUUGGCGUUUGAGAUAGUGCUUGUUACCGUGUCUCCUGAUUCUGUAUUCUAUCACUGCACGUCUCGAGGUUUGUAACGCACCCUCUGCAUUGCUUCUGUCUCGUGGCACCCUUCUGUUGCACUCAUUCUGCAUCUUGCUGCUUUCCUCACUUUUAGACGAGGAGGAGGGAGAAGACGACGUUCCAUACGAGGAGCCGGUGUCAGAGAGCGAAGAACCAACACUGCCCGAGUUCACGCACGGCGACGAACUCUGAGAGAUUUGCAGCGCACAACACUUCAUUUCCAGCCGCUCAAAAGAGUCAUUUUGUCUUUCAAAAAAAAAAAACUUCAUUCAUAUAUGUCAUAAAUACAUCAUAUGUACAGUUUUUAUACCCUGUUUCAUCUCUUGCGAUUUCAUCUACUUUACUAACUGUGUUACAAAGAUUGUGUCACAUUAAAAUGUACAGUUACCGCUGCCCUUGUAAGAAAAUUGAUCCAGUUACUGCUGAA
This is an RNA transcript of Dermacentor silvarum, 2636 nucleotides long. It is a transcript of the gene named cysteine-rich with EGF-like domain protein 2, with no coding region annotated. The transcript is spliced from 12 exons. The record is from RefSeq and is a predicted model, not a curated record. NCBI's taxonomy places the organism in Eukaryota, Metazoa, Arthropoda, Arachnida, Ixodida, Ixodidae.